CCUACGGGAGGCUGCAGUGAGGAAUAUUGGUCAAUGGACGAGAGUCUGAACCAGCCAAGUAGCAUGAAGGAUGACUGCCCUAUGGGUUGUAAACUUCUUUUAUAUGGGAAUAAAAUGUUCCACGUGUGGGAUUUUGUAUGUACCAUAUGAAUAAGGAUCGGCUAACUCCGUGCCAGCAGCCGCGGUAAUACGGAGGAUCCGAGCGUUAUCCGGAUUUAUUGGGUUUAAAGGGAGCGUAGGUGGAUUGUUAAGUCAGUUGUGAAAGUUUGCGGCUCAACCGUAAAAUUGCAGUUGAAACUGGCAGUCUUGAGUACAGUAGAGGUGGGCGGAAUUCGUGGUGUAGCGGUGAAAUGCUUAGAUAUCACGAAGAACUCCGAUUGCGAAGGCAGUUCACUGGACUGCAACUGACACUGAGGCUCGAAAGUGUGGGUAUCAAACAGGAUUAGAUACCCGAGUAGUC
This 460-nucleotide ribosomal RNA is filed under the name uncultured bacterium. RNAcentral's name for it is "partial 16S ribosomal RNA". It matches the Rfam family "Bacterial small subunit ribosomal RNA", at positions 338 to 795 of the family's 1533-position model. The record is from RNAcentral.